GAUGAACGCUGGCGGCGUGCCUAAUACAUGCAAGUCGAGCGAACAGACGAGGAGCUUGCUCCUCUGACGUUAGCGGCGGACGGGUGAGUAACACGUGGAUAACCUACCUAUAAGACUGGGAUAACUUCGGAAAACCGGAGCUAAUACCGGAUAAUAUAUUGAACCGCAUGGUUCAAUAGUGAAAGACGGUUUUGCUGUCACUUAUAGAUGGAUCCGCGCCGCAUUAGCUAGUUGGUAAGGUAACGGCUUACCAAGGCAACGAUGCGUAGCCGACCUGAGAGGGUGAUCGGCCACACUGGAACUGAGACACGGUCCAGACUCCUACGGGAGGCAGCAGUAGGGAAUCUUCCGCAAUGGGCGAAAGCCUGACGGAGCAACGCCGCGUGAGUGAUGAAGGUCUUCGGAUCGUAAAACUCUGUUAUUAGGGAAGAACAAAUGUGUAAGUAACUAUGCACGUCUUGACGGUACCUAAUCAGAAAGCCACGGCUAACUACGCG
This 497-nucleotide ribosomal RNA is filed under the name uncultured bacterium. RNAcentral's name for it is "partial 16S ribosomal RNA". It matches the Rfam family "Bacterial small subunit ribosomal RNA", at positions 28 to 507 of the family's 1533-position model. The record is from RNAcentral.